RNAcentral lists this ribosomal RNA (425 nucleotides) under uncultured bacterium. Its description in RNAcentral is "partial 16S ribosomal RNA". It matches the Rfam family "Bacterial small subunit ribosomal RNA", at positions 354 to 796 of the family's 1533-position model. The record is from RNAcentral.
GUGGGGAAUCUUGCGCAAUGGGCGAAAGCCUGACGCAGCCAUGCCGCGUGAAUGAUGAAGGUCUUAGGAUUGUAAAAUUCUUUCACCGGGGACGAUAAUGACAGUACCCGGAGAAGAAGCUCCGGCUAACUUCGUGCCAGCAGCCGCGGUAAUACGAAGGGGGCUAGCGUUGCUCGGAAUUACUGGGCGUAAAGGGCGCGUAGGCGGACAGCUUAGUCAGAGGUGAAAGCCCAGGGCUCAACCUUGGAAUUGCCUUUGAUACUGGCUGUCUUGAGUUUGGGAGAGGUGAGUGGAACUCCGAGUGUAGAGGUGAAAUUCGUAGAUAUUCGGAAGAACACCAGUGGCGAAGGCGACUCACUGGCCCAAUACUGACGCUGAGGCGCGAAAGCGUGGGGAGCAAACAGGAUUAGAUACCCUAGUAGUCC